RNAcentral lists this ribosomal RNA (502 nucleotides) under uncultured bacterium. RNAcentral's name for it is "partial 16S ribosomal RNA". It matches the Rfam family "Bacterial small subunit ribosomal RNA", at positions 30 to 523 of the family's 1533-position model. The record is from RNAcentral.
AUUGAACGCUGGCGGCGUGCCUAACACAUGCAAGUCGAGCGGUAACAGGUGUAGCAAUACAUGCUGACGAGCGGCGAACGGGUGAGUAAUGCUUCGGAAUCUACCUUAUGGUGGGGAAUAACUAGCCGAAAGGUUAGCUAAUACCGCAUACGUCCUACGGGAGAAAGCAGGGGAUCGCAAGACCUUGCGCCAAAAGAUGAGCCGAAGUCGGAUUAGCUAGUUGGUAGGGUAACGGCCUACCAAGGCGACGAUCCGUAGCUGGUCUGAGAGGACGACCAGCCACACUGGGAGUGAGACACGGGCCAGACUCCUACGGGAGGCAGCAGUGGGGAAUAUUGGACAAUGGGGGAAACCCUGAUCCAGCGACGCCGCGUGUGUGAAGAAGGCCUGCGGGUUGUAAAGUACUUUUAGUGGGGAUGAAAUGUGCAGGGUUAAUACCUCUGCAUUUUGACCUAACCCACAGAAAAAGCACCGGCUAACUCUGUGCCAGCCGCCGCAGUAA